Long non-coding RNA from Arachis ipaensis, 512 nucleotides. RefSeq lists it as uncharacterized. The record is from RefSeq and is a predicted model, not a curated record. NCBI's taxonomy places the organism in Eukaryota, Viridiplantae, Streptophyta, Magnoliopsida, Fabales, Fabaceae.
AGAAGAGAAGCUCGCGACCAACCUUGUCACCGUCAGCGCUGCGGGUUGCCGUCGCCAUCCUCGCAAGCUGCCACCGCGUUGCCGUUACUGAGCUGCAGCGCCGCCAUUGUCACACUCUGCUGCUGCCGUGUCUCACCAAGCCGCCGCUGGAGGAGGAAGGCUCGCCAGUUCUGCCUCUGCUUCUUAUUCCUAAAAUCUGACAAGAACGCCACUGCCCUGCUGGAGUUGCUGUUGAACCGUUAGAACCGCUACUAUUUUGUGGUUACCGUAAGUUACAUUGCCGCCGUUACUGGAGGUAGUUGUUGGCCCUGUUUGGAGAUUGCUGCUACCACUGGAAUCCCAAACCGGAAAGGAGAGGAGGCCGUUUAACCUAGUCACUGUCGCUGCCAUGGAAACAGGUGCUGGAAACUGCCAACAGAGCAAUUGCGUUUAGUGAUUUAUGCGAGUUUCAACACUGAGUGACACAGGUUUGAAGACACAGUUUGAAGCUGCUGGCGAUUAUAUAAUUUAUU